AAGUCAGCUGUACUGAGUGUCGAUGACACAUGUGCCUCCCAUUUUUGAAGCUCUUCUCCCUGGCGCCUCAGUGUACUGUCUGAGCUGCCCCUGGGCUACAACCGUGAUUAAGAGGAGAGGUCUCUCUUUUGAAGGGGUUGGUGGUCUCUUGAGCUGAGGAAGUGGAACACGGGGUGAGUUUUCCUUUGUUUGUUCUUUCGUCCAUUCAUUGGUUCAUUAGGAAGCCCCUUCUCUGUGCUUGGUGCUGAGGAGGGGUUUUAACAGUCUCCUCCAGCAAUGGCGCUUCGGGGCAGGGGGGAGUAUGGGGAUGCUAAGUUUUGGGGGGAGCUUCCAGUAGAUUCAUUCAGGAGGAGACUCCUUUGGAGUAAGAUGGGAAGAGCAGCUUGCAGCCCCCUGGUAGAGGCCCUUGAACGGAGAGCAGAGUUUUGUUCUGGGGCAAGUUUGGGGCAGGCAAGCCCGAGUCUCUUUCCUGUCCUUGACCCUUGCUGUGGGACUCGCUUCUCUGCUUUUCAGUUGACGAGCCUGGCUGAUGGAAAACUGGAGGGCAUGCUGUGGGCUUCUCCCCUGCCACCUUCCCCGCUCUUGACGUCUUCUGGAAAUUGCCACCUUUAGGAGUCUGAGGAGCCAGGCAUCCUCGAGGGCAGGCUUCCUGUGUGGAGAGCCUUGUGGCUGAGGUCUGACCACACCACAAACCCACUGCUGCUCAUCAGUGUGGGCCAAGGAUGGAAGAGAAGCCAUGGUGCAGAGAGGGGUGUGGGUCAGGGGCUGAGGAUGCCUCCGGCCUUUCCUAAAAAGGAGGGAGCUGGACUUGCUUUUCCCUGAGACAUCUUCUGGUUGCGCCUCAGUCUACCCUGCGUUUGUCAUUUAGAUGGGGAGCUCCCCCACCAUCUCAUUCGGCAUGGGGUUUACAGGUCUAACAGGCCACGGUUUUAUGAGCUGCCUUGUGAAUAUUAAAAGUCGCAUUUCUUUUUCUGUUUCUUUGGAUUGCUUGAAUUUUUUAAGGUUGAGCAGUUUUUUAAAUAGCAAAGUGUAAAGUCCUAAGUCUUCUUAGAGGCUGUCAUUCUCCUGUGAUUUCAGCUCCCUAGCCUCCUUCGUGACUUUGAUCACCAAGUCCCCCGUUACGUUGGAAGAUUAAAGGCAUGUGGACGUCCGGGGGAGGGCAGCCUGGAGGUGACAUUCAAAAGCUCGAUUAGUCUUCUGCGGAUCAGCUCCUCCCCUCGUCCCCAUGCUACUCAUGCGGUGGAAAAAGCCGGUCAUUUGCCCUGUAGAAUUUCCCACACUGUGGAGUUGGCCUUUGUUUCCUCAUGGUGACAAAAAGCGUUCCCUUUGCAGAGAAAUCCACUAAACUUAACAAUUAUCCUGCAGGAGUGAGACACCAGGCAGGAAGGUUUAAAUGGAAACAACAGGGGAGAGAGAUGGGGGCUUCCGACCAUAAGAAAGAAAUCAGAGCAAACGGGCACGGCCCACAGGGAAGGUGAGGGAAACAGGGGCCAACGGAGAGGAGAGCCAGAAAGAACCCUCCAGAUGACUCGCUUACUCCUGCUUUCUCCCUGAGCUCUCUGUGGUCCAGCACCUGCCCUCCAUCCCCAGCCCAGCUUCUCACCCCCCAGGCUGUGUGGUGGGGACAGGGCAGCAAGGGAGUAAGGUGUGGGUGGGGGGCAUUUUCCCCAUAUGGAGGUACUGCUGAGCUGAAACUUAGGAAGAGAUUUUUUUAUUAUUAUCAUUCCUCUUGAACCACAUGCUUAAAAAAAAAAAAGACAAAUACGUUUAAAAUCAAAUCAGUUUUGAAGGGGCAGCAUCUUUAUCAUCUACCGUCCUUGGGAUUCAUUUCACGUUCAAAGAAAUAGAAAACGACUUGCAAAAAGGCGAAUUAGACCCAGAUUUGCCCGCAGGUGGCAUCUCAGGCCGUAAUUUAACGGCACUUCAUCAACAUUGCCUUUUCUGGGCCCAAUGAGUAGCUUGCGCUGUAGGAAAAGUGCUUUGCCAUAAUUUUUCAUUAGCUUCACGAGUCAUGCCAUUUGGAACCAUGUGAGGUGGCUCAUGUUUUAGUGAUUUUUAAAAACACUUGACAAUCAGAAAUUCAAGCACCAAAUGCCUGUGAGUCAGGGACCAUUUAGACAUCUGAGACAGGACCAGGAUUAAAGGUCA
Long non-coding RNA from Equus asinus (donkey), 2148 nucleotides. The record is from Ensembl. Lineage: Eukaryota; Metazoa; Chordata; Mammalia; Perissodactyla; Equidae.